RNAcentral lists this ribosomal RNA (427 nucleotides) under uncultured bacterium. RNAcentral's name for it is "partial 16S ribosomal RNA". It matches the Rfam family "Bacterial small subunit ribosomal RNA", at positions 354 to 796 of the family's 1533-position model. The record is from RNAcentral.
GUGAGGAAUCUUCCACAAUGGGCGAAAGCCUGAUGGAGCAACGCCGCGUGAAGGAUGAAGGUCUUCGGAUUGUAAACUUCUUUUAUGAGUGAAGAAUAUGACGGUAACUCAUGAAUAAGCACCGGCUAACUACGUGCCAGCAGCCGCGGUCAUACGUAGGGUGCAAGCAUUAUCCGGAGUGACUGGGCGUAAAGAUUUGCGUAGGCGGUUAUGUAAGCGAAUAGUGAAACCUGGUGGCUCAACCACACAGACUAUUAUUCGAACUGCAUAACUCGAGAAUGGUAGAGGUAACUGGAAUUUCUUGUGUAGGAGUGAAAUCCGUAGAUAUAAGAAGGAACACCAAGGGCGUAGGCAGGUUACUGGGCCAUUUCUGACGCUAAGGCACGAAAGCGUGGGGAGCGAACCGGAUUAGAUACCCCUGUAGUCC